This 253-nucleotide unclassified non-coding RNA is filed under the name uncultured Alphaproteobacteria bacterium. RNAcentral describes it as "contains 16S-23S intergenic spacer region". It matches the Rfam family "Bacterial small subunit ribosomal RNA", at positions 524 to 776 of the family's 1533-position model. The record is from RNAcentral. Lineage: Bacteria; Pseudomonadati; Pseudomonadota; Alphaproteobacteria.
UACGGAGGGGGCUAGCGUUGUUCGGAAUUACUGGGCGUAAAGGGCGCGUAGGUGGAAUGCCGAGUCAGGCGUGAAAGCCCCAGGCUCAACCUGGGAACUGCGUUUGAUACUGGCAAUCUAGAGUCCGGGAGAGGGUGGUGGAAUUCCCAGUGUAGAGGUGAAAUUCGUAGAUAUUGGGAAGAACACCAGUGGCGAAGGCGGCCACCUGGACCGGUACUGACACUGAGGCGCGAAAGCGUGGGGAGCAAACAGG